RNAcentral lists this ribosomal RNA (468 nucleotides) under uncultured bacterium. Its description in RNAcentral is "partial 16S ribosomal RNA". It matches the Rfam family "Bacterial small subunit ribosomal RNA", at positions 28 to 507 of the family's 1533-position model. The record is from RNAcentral.
GACGAACGCUGGCGGCGUGCUUAACACAUGCAAGUCGAACGGACAGGCCCUGCUUUUGUGGGGUGCUCGAGUGGCGAACGGGUGAGUAACACGUGAGUAACCUGCCCUUGACUUUGGGAUAACUUCAGGAAACUGGGGCUAAUACCGGAUAGGAGCUCCUGCUGCAUGUUGGGGGUUGGAAAGUUUCGGCGGUUGGGGAUGGACUCGCGGCUUAUCAGCUUGUUGGUGGGGUAGUGGCUUACCAAGGCUUUGACGGAUAGCCGGCCUGAGAGGGUGACCGGCCACAUUGGGACUGAGAUACGGCCCAGACUCCUACGGGAGGCAGCAGUGGGGAAUAUUGCAGAAUGGGCGGAAGCCUGAUGCAGCAACGCCGCGUGCGGGAUGACGGCCUUCGGGUUGUAAACCGCUUUCGCCUGUGACGAAGCGUGAGUGACGGUAAUGGGUAAAGAAGCACCGGCUAACUACGUG